CCUACGGGAGGCUGCAGUGGGGAAUAUUGGACAAUGGGCGGAAGCCUGAUCCAGCCAUGCCGCGUGUGUGAAGAAGGCCUUCGGGUUGUAAAGCACUUUCAGUGGGGAAGAAAGCCUUGGGGCUAAUACCCUCGAGGAAGGACAUCACCCACAGAAGAAGCACCGGCUAACUCCGUGCCAGCAGCCGCGGUAAUACGGAGGGUGCGAGCGUUAAUCGGAAUUACUGGGCGUAAAGCGCGCGUAGGCGGUCUGAUAAGCCGGUUGUGAAAGCCCCGGGCUCAACCUGGGAACGGCAUCCGGAACUGUCAGGCUAGAGUGCAGGAGAGGAAGGUAGAAUUCCCGGUGUAGCGGUGAAAUGCGUAGAGAUCGGGAGGAAUACCAGUGGCGAAGGCGGCCUUCUGGACUGACACUGACGCUGAGGUGCGAAAGCGUGGGUAGCAAACAGGAUUAGAUACCCCUGUAGUC
RNAcentral lists this ribosomal RNA (465 nucleotides) under Vreelandella stevensii. RNAcentral describes it as "partial 16S ribosomal RNA". It matches the Rfam family "Bacterial small subunit ribosomal RNA", at positions 338 to 795 of the family's 1533-position model. Lineage: Bacteria; Pseudomonadati; Pseudomonadota; Gammaproteobacteria; Oceanospirillales; Halomonadaceae. The record is from RNAcentral.